Molecule: microRNA precursor, 93 nt
Organism: Gorilla gorilla gorilla (western lowland gorilla)
Lineage: Eukaryota; Metazoa; Chordata; Mammalia; Primates; Hominidae
Source: Ensembl
GGAGGAUUGCUUGAGCCUGGGAGUUUGAGGCUGCAGGUAGCCGUGAUCACACCACUGCACUCCAGCCUGAGUGACAGAGCAAAGCCUUGUCUC